RNAcentral lists this ribosomal RNA (183 nucleotides) under Urogymnus asperrimus (porcupine ray). RNAcentral's name for it is "partial 12S rRNA". Lineage: Eukaryota; Metazoa; Chordata; Chondrichthyes; Myliobatiformes; Dasyatidae. The record is from RNAcentral.
CACCGCGGUUAUACGAGUGACACAAACUAAUAUUUUACGGCGUAAAGGGUGAUUAAAACCAAUCUUUUUAAAAAUAAAGUUAAGAUAACAUCAAACUGUCAUACGUUAUCCAUGUUCCAAAACAUCAGUUACGAAAGUAACUUUAUACAAAAAAGAGUUUUUGACUUCACGACAGUUAAGGCC